UCGACCAGAGGAAGAGAGGAAGAAGCGCCCAUUCUUCUUCAGUUCUUCCCCUCCUUCCAAAUUAGUAUACUCGUCGUUGUCGGACCACCCUCCAACGAGGUAAGAUUGCCACCAACCCAUUCUUCUUCGGUUCUUCCCCUCCUUCAAAAUCAACCGCACAUUCUUUGAUUCGAGAUCUGAAAUCUUCUCUGAUGCAGGAUCUUUUUCUUCCCUUCUUCCUCCUCCUCUCCUUCUUCCUUCUUCCUUUUUUCUUUUAACUCACUACAAUAUGAUUUUUAUUUUUUGUAGAUCCGCCCCUACUCUAAUUUGGGAUUGAUCUGUUUUUCACUACUGCCAUUAAUGAGUUAUUCCCUAGAAUAUGAUCUAUUUUUGCAGAUCUGCCUCUAUGUUCGAUUAUUUUUGCUACCCCAUGACAUGAAGAUUCUGGCUUGAAUACAUUAUAAUAACAAGUUGGUUGAGUUUCCUUCUUUUGGUUUCCAUGUUCACUUAAUAUGAUGAUCAUGCUAUGUAGCUAGAUGGCCAAAUCUCUUCUGAUUGCAAAACCAGGAAGGUUUCUUAUAUGAGCUUGCAUGAUGGGAACCACACAUUUGAGGUUUGCAUCAAUGGAUCUCAAGGAGUCGAUUGUGCUAGCUAUAACUGGACUGUUGAUAAAAUCCCGCCUACCGCAUAUGUUCUGCUUCAAAAUCUUUUACAAAUGCACUAAAUGUGUCCAUAGAUAUUUUUUUUAGUGGACCCUACACUGGUGGCAGUGGUUUUGGGUGCUCAUCUGUGAACAGUUGCAAUCUGCUUGUUUUUGGCGCUGGGCAAGUUAUACCAUCCACCCAGAGGAUUGUUCAGCCUUACCUCAAAUAUUCUCUUCUUGUGGGGUUAUCAUCCAGUGUAUAGUAUGGACGAGUGAUAGUGGUAAUGGAUAAAGAUUUCUGCACAGAUAGUGCUGGAAACAAGUUUACGAGAAGUUCAAAUUCGAGUUCUGUUGUACACUUUGGUUCUAAUUCUCUACCAACAUGAUCUGACAUAGGGCAUGUCCCGUCUUUCGCAAUCUAGCAAUUUGGAGCAGCAUAUGGAUCGUUUGUUGGCUUUUUAAAGUUUUCUCCGUGUGUUUUUUGCUAAAGGUCAAGAAUCUCAAGCCCGUGAGUAGUUGAGUUCUAAGGAAAACUCAGCAUUUAAGACCUAGGCAUCUUCUUUGGGCCUUAGCACAGGGAGUGAAUUAGAGACUGAUAGUGAUUUCUCUAACAGCUCCGUUGACAGUCUGGGUUGCUUCACUAGUAGCAGAAGGUCUAAGGCAGUUGCGGAUCUCUAUGGAGAUGUAGUGGUCAAACCCUCUGUUAGGGGGUCACGUAGCACACGUGGAAGGGGCAAAAGAGGAAGGAGGGGAAGAGGUUGCGUGUUUUUUAUUGUUUUUUUCUUAUUUUUGGCCUUUUUAUCCUAACUCAUGGGAUGGUUUUUUGUUUUGUGGUGCCUUUGCCUUGAGGAUUUUGGUCCCAUUGGAUUGGUUUUGGCCUUUUUAGGCUUGGGCGUUUUGUUGGUUACCCUUCUUCUAUGCAAGGGUAGUUUAAAAUUCAGCCUCUU
Molecule: long non-coding RNA, 1569 nt
Organism: Nelumbo nucifera (sacred lotus)
Lineage: Eukaryota; Viridiplantae; Streptophyta; Magnoliopsida; Proteales; Nelumbonaceae
Source: RefSeq, a predicted model, not a curated record